CCUACGGGUGGCAGCAGUGGGGAAUAUUGCACAAUGGGGGAAACCCUGAUGCAGCGACGCCGCGUGGGUGAAGAAGGUUUUCGGAAUGUAAAGCCCUAUCAGCAGGGAAGAAAAUGACGGUAUCUGACUAAGAAGCACCGGCUAACUACGUGCCAGCAGCCGCGGUAAUACGUAGGGGGCAAGCGUUAUCCGGAUUCACUGGGUGUAAAGGGGGCGUAGACGGCAGUGCAAGUCAGGAGUGAAAGCCGGGGGCUUAACCCCCGGACUGCACUUGAAACUGUACGGCUGGAGUACAGGAGAGGUAGGUGGAAUUCCUGGUGUAGCGGUAAAAUGCGUAGAUAUUAAGAGGAACACCCAUGGCGAAGGCGACCUGCUAGACUAUAACUGACGUUGAGGCUCGAAAGCGUGGGGAGCAAACAGGAUUAGAUACCCCAGUAGUC
Molecule: ribosomal RNA, 440 nt
Filed under: uncultured bacterium
Lineage: Bacteria
Description: partial 16S ribosomal RNA
Rfam family: Bacterial small subunit ribosomal RNA
Source: RNAcentral